Molecule: long non-coding RNA, 283 nt
Filed under: Homo sapiens (human)
Lineage: Eukaryota; Metazoa; Chordata; Mammalia; Primates; Hominidae
Description: non-protein coding lnc-SEPT5-4:1
Source: RNAcentral
AACCAAAAAAAUAGAUAAAUGAUAAAUUAUUAAAUAAAUUAUUUAAAAAUAAAAGUAUUCAUUAAAUCAAUAAAUGUAAAUACUCCAGCUUAGGUGACAGAGGAAGACUCCAUCUCUUAAAAAACAAAAAAACAAAAAAAAAAAACUAAUAAAAUAAAAACAUGAAAUCCAAACCAAAAAGAGAUGAGAGGGGAGGUAGGCAGAGAGAGACAGAGGGAGAGAGAGACCAGGAGAGAGCCAGGGAGAGAGGAAGGGAGAGAGGCUUGGACUGAGUGUCUGAGUC